This 253-nucleotide ribosomal RNA is filed under the name uncultured bacterium. RNAcentral describes it as "partial 16S ribosomal RNA". It matches the Rfam family "Bacterial small subunit ribosomal RNA", at positions 524 to 776 of the family's 1533-position model. The record is from RNAcentral.
UACGAAGGGGGCUAGCGUUGUUCGGAAUUACUGGGCGUAAAGCGCACGUAGGCGGAUAUUUAAGUCAGGGGUGAAAUCCCGGGGCUCAACCUCGGAACUGCCUUUGAUACUGGGUAUCUUGAGUAUGGAAGAGGUAAGUGGAAUUGCGAGUGUAGAGGUGAAAUUCGUAGAUAUUCGCAGGAACACCAGUGGCGAAAGCGGCUUCCUGGUCCAGCACCGACGUUCAGGCACGAAAGCGUGGGGAGCAAACAGG